RNAcentral lists this ribosomal RNA (304 nucleotides) under uncultured Glomus. RNAcentral describes it as "SSU rRNA". It matches the Rfam family "Eukaryotic small subunit ribosomal RNA", at positions 792 to 1092 of the family's 1831-position model. Lineage: Eukaryota; Fungi; Glomeromycota; Glomeromycetes; Glomerales; Glomeraceae. The record is from RNAcentral.
CGCUUGAAUACAUAGCAUGGAAUAAUGAAUAGGACGUUCGAUCCUAUUUUGUUGGUUUCUAGGAUUGACGUAAUGAUUAAUAGGGAUAGUCGGGGGCAUUAGUAUUCAAUUGUCAGAGGUGAAAUUCUUGGAUUUAUUGAAGACUAACUACUGCGAAAGCAUUUUGCCAAGGAUGUCUUCAUUAAUCAAGAACGAAAGUUAGGGGAUCGAAGACGAUCAGAUACCGUCGUAGUCUUAACCAUAAACUAUGCCGACUAGGGAUCGGAUGAUGUUAAUUUUUUAAUGACUCAUUCGGCGCCUUACG